RNAcentral lists this long non-coding RNA (3013 nucleotides) under Triticum aestivum (bread wheat). Its description in RNAcentral is "long non-coding RNA (TAES_LNC027685)". The stretch from base 863 to 997 matches the Rfam family "MIR1120/MIR1122 microRNA precursor family". Lineage: Eukaryota; Viridiplantae; Streptophyta; Magnoliopsida; Poales; Poaceae. The record is from RNAcentral.
AGUCGAGAAGCAAGGGCAAGGAUCAUAGGGAAAAUAAAGGUACAAUGCUCCCAAUAUAUUUUACCUUUUCGGCGAAGUUUUGGUGCUUGCGCAAGAAAAUAACACCAUCAUUAUACCUACUACUCAUUUUUUAUUCAGGAAAUUAGCCAUAAGUAGGAAAAGCCAACUAAUUGUAAUUUCUCUAUUGCAGAGGUGAAAUUACUACUACUUUUCGAAAGCUUUUUUUGAUGCAUGUUCCCCUUUCUUAAUCUUCUAUUUGUUCAAAUGUACAUACCUGUGCUUAUAAUCAUUAUUACACUUGGUUCUACUGCAAGAGCAUACUUUAUCUUUCCAUUUCCAUCAAUCCAUCUUGAUGUGUGAUCGGGUCAUUGUGUGAUGCUGUUAGCUAUUGAUAUGGUGUCUACUUACGUCUGUUCAUAAGUACACCCUUUGUCUAUUGUUCGUUUGAGACAUAUAGCCAGCACAAGAAAAAUCUGUUGAUGAGUCCUUAGCUAGCUUUUGAUAUUUUAGUCCUUUGGCCUUGUUCACACAGAGCUCCAGAAUAAGGGAACUAGAAAUAACCGAUUCUUGUCCCCAAAAAACAGCUAGGUUUUCAUAGACCUUCAUUAUUAUAUGCUUUUGCUUUUGCUGCAUUCGUUCUUUCAGGUUGUUUCAUUAUUUUUCCAUGUUAGCUUUAGGAUGCCCAAUGUAUUUCAGUUCAUAUGUACGUGUAUUGUGUAUGGUUUAUUUGUCCUAUCUGCCGGUGUCUGAGCAUGACAAGCAGCAAAGAGGGAGGGGGGAUUUUUCAAAUACAAAGCAAAAUGUGCACAAAAUAGAUGUGGCUCACAAUGUCAUAGCAUAGACUGGAACAAAAUAUACAUUGUAUAUACUCCCUCCGGCCCAAAAUUCUUGUCUUAGGUUUGUCUAGAUACGGGUGUAUCUAAUACUAAAAUGUGACUUGAUACAUCCAUAUUUAGACAAAUCUAAGACAAGAAUUUUGGGACUGGGGGAAUAUAUCAUUACUACUAUUAUCCAGUGCUCAUGAUUCAUGUUCACAUAGAUACUGUACAUGGUAACAACAACAUACCUGAUAUUGUGGAUAAUGACUACUCCAGUGCCACAACUUUAGAAUACAUAAGACUGGUCAAAAGUGCUCCAUUGCCUCAACUGUAGAAUACACCGGACUGGCCAAAAGUUGUCCAUAGCCACAACUGUAGAAUACAUGUCACAGUUUGACCUUCAUACUCUCAAUUUGAAGCUUCAGAUCAUCCUGUUGAGCCAAAAAAUAUCAUAAAUUGCACAUUCAUUUGGGUAAACAUGUAUGCUUUCAUGUAGUGAUAUUUUGCUUUGGUAGUGUGCAUCGUAUGAUGCUGAGGCCUAGAGAUGAACCCUUCCAUCAUCUUAAAAGAAAAAAAACUUGUACCCAAUAGAAUGAAAUGUUUUUCCCUAGGGUGAAACGGCUACCUGGUCAUGAGAAUGCCCAAGGUCUGUUGCAGUUUCUGAAACUGCUGCCUGUAGAUCAGAGAUAUCUCGGAAGCUAUCCCCUGGAAGCUCCUAUAAACUGAAUCCCCACUGCUGCUGCUACUGAUGUGAUUGAUUGUGAAUUUGUCUUCAGGGUUGUAUCAACAUGGUAAGAGAUCUCGCUGCCAGCACUGCCUGAAGGGCUAGCUUCAGGAUUGACCUGUUUAUAUUUACGAGUGUGUGAUCACGUUGCGAUGGCAGAGAUGACUGGCGGAAUAAUACAGCUGACGUUCCAUUUCUGUCAGCCCACUCUGCUGUAGACAGAAUAGUUAACACUCUAAUACACUCUUUUUGUUUGUAUUCAGUUGAUAGGUGUAAUCAACAAUUUUCAGAAACCAAAAUCAAAUGCAGACUUGAGUAUUACCUGAGGGCGCAGUGGAAAGGCUUCCGGAGCUAGGAGAAGAAAUAGUUGAAGAAGAUAUGGUCUUGGCUGUUUCGCAGGCAUCAGGUGUAGAGUGCACGAAUGACAAUUUGCCCUUUGAAAUGACGUACGCCUUACAGAAGCUUGGAAUGCAUUUAGAGAUUUUUGUUGAAGUCUUGCUUCCUUUGAGCUUCCUGCAAACAAUCAACAAUGGUAACCACAUGAUUAAGAUUGCACUAGGCAUUUCUUAUCCUAUGCUGCACUGGGUUUUAUUUUUUAUAAAAAUUGUUCAGCCUAAAUUUUCUGCAAAUUUCCAUAUUGAACUUGGAACCAAGUAGUUGCAGUGCAACCUUCAGUGUUAGGCCAGUAGCUGGGGAAUUAAAUGAGAAGACAAUGAUAAUCCUACCAAAUGCUUUUCUCACUAUGACUCUUUGGUAUAUAGCAUUUUUUCCUACCUGUUGCCUAUUUCGAAUAGAUAGAUGGUUUGCUUUGGAAAGGGAUUAGAUAAGGCCUAUGAGUCAAGUGUGACAAGCAAGCCAUGCACUUCUAUUUAUUAUUAAGCUCUAACUGAAUUUGUGAUAAUGGUGUUUCAGAGAUAAUACAAUCAAUCCAAUAGUUACUUUUGUUGUUCUUUUUGGAUGGACUAAUCUGAAGAUGCUAGCUAGCUUGCACCAUCAUCAUAUAGUCUAGAAGGAAGGGCAAGGAUUAUAGUGAAAAUAAAGGUACGAUGAUCCUAAUAUAUUUUACUUUCUUGGUGAAGUUUUGGUGGUUGCACAAGAAAGUAACACACAUCAUUAUACCUACUGCUCUCUUUUCAGGCAAUUCGCCAUACGGAGGAAAUGCCUAGUAAUCCAUUUUUGUACUUCAUUUCUUACUAUUGACUGUGUGAACUGUUGUGGUAGGACUCAGGCUUUCAAAGUUAUUUGGCAUGUGGACAUGUUUUUAUUUUCGUUUGUACAGUUUUGUGUUCUUUUGGCUUCAGGUUGCUACUGCACAGAAAGUGCAGUGAGCUCAGGUGAUGCAUGAAAAAAACUGCAGACCUAGCAUAGUUUUUGUAUUUGGAUUUUGUAACUAAUUGUGUGAUGCCCUUAUGUUAAAAUGCUAAUUUGUUCUCCAAGUAGGCCAACGAUGGGUGCUAACAAUGAUACAUAC